AUUCACUUUCAUUUUAUUGGCUUCAUUUGUCCACAUAUUAGUGUCAGCAAUAGGUCUUGCACUGUCAUUCAUACACUUGUUCUCAUUAUGAUCCACCAAGUCACCAUGAUUUCCAGCCUGCAUCAGGUCACAACCCACACAGAAUUCAGAAUCAAGAUUUACAUAAUUCACCAAAAACAUUUUACAUCAACAUUGACAAAGAACCUUACAUUCUCUGCCAUUUUAUUGGCUCCAUUUGUCCAAAUAUUAGUUUCAGCAUUAGGGCUGGCACUGUCAUCCAUAAGAUCGUUCUCAAUAUGAUCCACCAAGUCACCAUGAGAUCCACUUGACCUAAUAUCAAUACAUAUGCUGUUCGUGUAGACAUUCACAGAUGUGUCAACUAGAUUAAUCGAAUCUCCUGCUAUCACCUUCUUUGAAUCCGUAUUAGCAACUAUAGAUUUUGUAGAUUCAUCUUCUACUGGUGACUUCAGUUUUCCAGAAAUG
This 483-nucleotide long non-coding RNA is filed under the name Panax ginseng (ginseng). RNAcentral's name for it is "long non-coding RNA (PGIN_LNC012092)". The record is from RNAcentral. Lineage: Eukaryota; Viridiplantae; Streptophyta; Magnoliopsida; Apiales; Araliaceae.